AGUGAACGCUGGCGGUGGGCCUAACACAUGCAAGUCGAACGACAAAACAGUAAGAGCUUGCUCUUAUGGGUGCCGAGUGGCGGAUGGGUGAGGAAUACAUCGGCAUCUACUUUUUCGUGGGGGUGAACGAAGGGAAACUUACGCUAAUACCGCAUACGACCUACGGGUGAGAGCAGGGGAGCUUCGUACCUUGCGGGUUUGAAUGAGCCUAUGUCGGAUUGGCUAGUUGGCGGGGUAAAGGACCACCAAGGCGACGAACCGUAGCUGGACGGAGAGGAUGAUCGCCCACCCUAGAGCGUGAACAGGGACCCUACUCCUGCGGGACGGAGCAGUGUGGUAUAUUGGACAGUGGUCGCAAGUCUUAUCCAGCCAUCCCGCGUCGGAGAAAAAGGCGUUCGGGGUGUAAAGCCCGUCUGUUGGGAGAGAAACGCAGUCGGUUAAGACCCCGCUGUACUGACGGUACCUAAAGAAUAAGCACCGGCUAACUUCGUG
This 492-nucleotide ribosomal RNA is filed under the name uncultured bacterium. RNAcentral's name for it is "partial 16S ribosomal RNA". It matches the Rfam family "Bacterial small subunit ribosomal RNA", at positions 29 to 507 of the family's 1533-position model. The record is from RNAcentral.